Molecule: transfer RNA, 71 nt
Filed under: Marmota monax (woodchuck)
Lineage: Eukaryota; Metazoa; Chordata; Mammalia; Rodentia; Sciuridae
Description: tRNA.Ala
Rfam family: tRNA
About the family: Transfer RNA (tRNA) molecules are approximately 80 nucleotides in length. Their secondary structure includes four short double-helical elements and three loops (D, anti-codon, and T loops).
Source: RNAcentral
GGGGUUGUGGCUCAGGGGUAGAGUGCAUGCUUAGCAUGCAUGAGGCACUGGGUUUGAUCCCUGGCACCACA